Molecule: long non-coding RNA, 9877 nt
Filed under: Malus domestica (apple)
Lineage: Eukaryota; Viridiplantae; Streptophyta; Magnoliopsida; Rosales; Rosaceae
Description: long non-coding RNA (MDOM_LNC010825)
Source: RNAcentral
GGGGCGGGAACCUAUACCGCUUUCAAGUUUCCAGAAGAUGGUGACUUUACCCUACAAAUAUAAUGGUGCCAUUCUUUUUGAGGUGAGGUGAGGUAAGGCUUUAUCUCUGUAGAUAUAUAUAUCUUAGCAAGAACCACGGGGGUUGCUACCGAAAUUGAUUUCUAAAAUAUGGGUUUUUGGUUGUUUUUGAAUCUCAUUUAUUAUAUUUUAGGGAAAUAGAAAAAAAUAACCCAUUUUGUUAAUCUUGGAACCAAAAUAUUACAAACAAGCCAUACACAAGUCAUGCACACCAUGCACAUAAAAAACAGGACCAACACGGACAUCCAAAUAAAAAUUUCAUCAAUUUGUUUAUACUAAAUCCGUUAUUCUGAUUUCAUUUUGAAUUCACUGGGAAAAAUACAUAAAUCCAUAAGACGGGAGGAAAAAGUCGUGAUUCAGCACCAUAAGAUGUGAUUAACAACAAUUUUUUAUGAAACCCCAAUUGAAUCUAAAGUGAGCAGCUUUACACACACACCCUGAAUUUAUACAUGAAGAAUGAAGUUUUAUAUUGCAAAUCCAUGAUUUGUUUUUCUCAGUCUGUUGUUCCUCCUGCCAGGAAGAGCUUGGUGAAAAAUGGCUCCCUCUUUGUUUUUAGAAUUAAGGUAUGCAUGUAUUCAUGUUCUUCUACCUUUUCUUCGUUUCUAUUUUUUUUUAGUAGAAAAAUGAUUUCUCCUAAAUAAUUUAUAGCCAUGGCAGCAGGUCACUUGAAUAUAAGAUGAAAAAUACUGAUUGAGAGAUGGUUUUACAUUUUUAUGGUCAAAUUUUUGUUAGAAAUUGAUGUCUGAGAUUACUGUCAGCUCAACAUUUGUUUUCUUAUGAUUUCUAGGCUUUUAGAUUAAAAACUAGCAAGAGUGUCUGCGCGAUGCUGCAGGUUUUAAAAAUGUAUAAAAUAUGUCGCAAGUUUUAAAUAUACAUGAUAAGCCGUACUACUUGUAUAUGUGGAAAUCCAAUUACAACCCUAUCUAAAAUAAGAAACAAUGAGUAGAGUUGAAGUUCCUUAAUCAAAUGAGUUUGUUUCUUCACCUUGUUCCUCCUUUCUUCUCAUAUGGACCUGUUUUCAUUUAUCUGUUAGAAAUUGGAAAAAUAGAAGUUAAUGUGAACAAAUGACGGUUGGAUUUAUUAAAAGGAUCCUCUUGCUAAAGAUCAGAACAAUAAAAGGACUAACAGGAUCCUCUUGCUAAAGAUCAGACCAAUAAAAGGACUAAUGGAAAGUUAGAAAAAUGACUUACGCAGUUGAAAACAUUAGGCAUUAUUAACCAAACAUGUAAAGUUUAUAUCAAAUUUUAUAUUAUGUGUGGUUUGAACUAUGGAUGAUAACAAUGAGAUAAUUGAACAUAUUUGUGGUUAAUGGACAGACAGUGUUUCAGAGAAAAGUCUCUCUAUCUUAACAUUCAACACACAAAAUUUUAAAUAUAAAGGAUUUAGCAUAUUUAAACAUGAUAAUUGCAUGAACUCAUUAGGCUUAAAAAAAUGGAUUCAAGUAGAUAGAAUAUUAAAAUUGAGAACAAAACAACAAAGUUGGAGUCAGUCGUUGGAAAAUGAAAGUUGAUUCCAUUGUUCCUCUACGUUCCUAUUAUAAAAAGUAACAACCCUUUUUUAUGACCAGUCCCAAAUUUUAGAUAAUGGACUUUGCUUAUCAAAUUCGUAUAUAUAGAUAACUUGCACGUUGCCAUGGGAAUGUGAAAUAGAUUAUCAGUAUUGUAUAUAACUGUUAGAAUAAUGGAUUAUAUGUGUUAUAAGCUUUGUGCGUAUAUAUGUAAAAACUAUUUACACAAAACAUGUACAACGCAAAAAUGCUGAUUACGAAUACAUGCUUACCUAUAUGACAAACAAAUGUGACGUCAAAUGCGUGAAAAAAGAGAAUCGCAUACUUAUUCCCAAUGUACUCAGAGAGCUUGAUCUGAAAUCCAAAACCAAAUCUUCAAUUUCAAUGAAACAAAGAGCUUAUAGUCAUUUGAAAGAUCUUCUAUAAGAAGCACUUAAACUUUCAAGCGCUUUUGCUAGAAAUGUUUUUACUUUAAACAUGUUUGAAGUUUCUAUCAAGGUCCAAAUGCUCCCUUAAAAAAACAUAGAAGUGCUUCUUGAAGCAUCUGACAUUAACAGAACACAAACUGAAAAAUGAAAAGCAAGUGACUUGUACAUGAAAUUAUGUUCACUCCAAAAACUACACUAUUCAACUUUAAAAUGCAGGAAAAAUGAAUGUUUUGAUACAAAUUUCAAAGAGGAUAAUUAAACUACAAAAACAUAAUUAUAAUGCAUGCAUCCGUACCUGGCAAUCAAGAAGGCAAUCAAGAAGCUGUUGCAAAGCAGGUAAUUGACUUAGUAAAUCUGUGCUAUCAAGACACAAAAAUCAGAGCAUGCUAAACUUUUUUGUGCAUUCAUUGGUUCAUUGUUAAAAAAAAAAAAUUGCAGAGAAGAGAUUUUUUACCUAAUUUUUCAGAAAUGAUGGUGCACCUGCAGCUGCUGCAGUCUUAUUCUGUGGAGUUUUUCAUGUUAUAAUCUCAAGUAGAAUUGACUUACAUACAGUUGUUAUAAAACAACAUUUGUAUAGCACAUAAGAAGAGAAUGCUUUGAAUGAUGAUAUAUUCUUCUCAAUAAGAGGAACUUAUAGGUGUACAACCCUAACAAAAAAGGAAAGAAAACUAAUUACAAGUGAUUACAUGGGAUUACAUAUCAAUUAGGGAUCCUACCUAAAAUACAAAAGUCAACACUCCCCCUCAAGUUGGUGCAUAUAUGUCGCUCAUGCCCAACUUGUGUAAGAAACUUGAAAUCUUGUGACUCGAAACAGCUUUUGUGAGGAUAUCUGCCAACUGAUCUUCUGUUCUUAUCGCCGGUACUUCAAUUAUUUUCUCUUCCAAAUUUUUCUUUGAUGAAGAACCGAUCAACUUCAACAUGCCUUGUUCUAUCAUGUUGUACCGGAUUAUGUGCAAUGUCACGAGCAGCUUUAUUAUCACAAAAUAAUUUCAUGGGCUGAUCAUGUUGUAUACCCAAAUCGCUUAACAGAAGCUUAAGCCACAAAAUUUCACAAAUCCCCAAAGCCAUACCUCUGUAUUCUGCUUCUGUACUGGAACGGGCAACCACAUUCUGUUUCUUACUUCUCCAUGUAACCAAGUUACCCCCAACAAACGUAAAGUAACCUGAUGUUGAACGUCUAUCAUCAAUGGAACCUGCCCAGUCUGCAUCAGUAUAACCUUCAACACUAAAGUGAUUAUUCCUCUUAAACAAAAUUCCUUUGCCUGGACUUCCCUUCAAAUAUCGCAAUAUUCUCAUCACAGCAUUCAUAUGUUGUUCUCCAGGAUCAUGCAUGUAUUGACUCACUACACUCAAGGCAUAAGCAAGGUCCGGUCUUGUGUGUGCCAAAUACAUCAAACGGCCUACUAACCUUUGGUAUCUUCCUUUGUCAACUGGUACUUGAUUAGGAUCACCACUAAGCUUCAAUCCUUCUUCUAAUGGUGUAGCUACUGGCUGACAAGCUGACAUGCUAGUUUCGUGCAACAAAUCAAUAAUAUACUUCCUCUGAGACAAGAAAAUUCCAGAACUGCUUCUCGACACCUCAAUCCCUAAAAAAUAUUUCAGGGAUCCAAGGUCCUUCAUUUCAAAUUAUGUAGACAGGUAUCUUUGCAAGGCCGCACGUUCUUCCAGAUCAUUACCUGUUACCACCAUAUCGUCUACAUACACAAUAAGUGCAGUAAGCUUCCCAUUCUGUCUUUUCAGGAACAAAGUAUGAUCAGAGUUACUUUGUCUGUAACCAAAUGCUCUCAUAGAUUUUGUGAAUCUUCCGAACCAUGCUCGAGGGGACUGCUUCAAGCCAUACAAGGAUUUCUUCAACCUGCACACUUUUCUUUUGUAUUUAUCUGGAGCAUUACAUCCCGGUGGAAGAUCCAUAUAAAUCUCUUCUGUCAAGUCUCCAUGCAAGAAGGCGUUCUUCACAUCGAACUGUUGUAAGGGCCAAUUAAGAUUUGCAGCCAAGGACAACAAAACACGAACUGUGUUGAUCUUGGCUACAGGUGCAAAUGUAUCUUUGUAGUCGAUUCCAUAUUUUUGAGUGUAUCCUUUUGCUACCAGUCUUGCCUUGAAACGAUCCACUGUCCCAUCUGCUUUGUAUUUCACAGUAUAGACCCAUUUGCAUCCCACAGGUUUCUUGCCAGCUGGCAAAUCUGUGAUUUCCCAGGUAGCAUUCUUCUUCAAAGACUUCAACUCUUCAUUCAUUGCUACUUGCCAACGUGGAUCAGUUAAAGCCUCCUGCACACUGUUAGGAAUAGAUACAGUAGAUAAUUGAUGCACAAACAACUUAUUUGAUUCUGACAGGUGACUGGUAGACACAUAAUUACUUAACGGGUAUAACACAUUAGACUCAGGGUUGGGCUUACUCACCGGAUGCCUAGUUUUGCAUUUAGGGUCGGCUUCAUAAGUAAGUUUAGGAAUACCUCGGUUGACGUGAUCAGGGAGACGACGUGGUGGUGGUGCAUCCGGGAUCGAAGACGAUUGAUUAUGGUUAUUGGGACUCAAGAUCGACUGUGAGGUAGCUGGCGACACAGGGUUGUCUGGUGGUGAGGAAACUGGUAGUGAGCUAUCAGGCAGUGAGUUAUCUGGCGAUGUCGACUCGUCCCUUUCAAGGUUUUCAACAUUGUUUCCAUGUGAAUGAUCACCACUUGUCUCCAAGACAUUACCACUUAAUUCCAAUUCAUUCACAUCAUUAUUUUCGUGUGAAUGAUCACCACUUAUUUCCAAGACAUCACCACUUAAAUCCAAAUCAUUCACUCUGUCUAUAUCUGGAAUAGUAUAAUCAAGAGUUUGAACUUCUUUCUGAUUCUCCCCCUGAAGUGAAGACUCGGGAUUGGCAAAGUACAUAUCAUUCUCAUGAAACGCAACAUCCAUAGUGACAAACAACUUAUUCGUCGAUGGGUGAUAACAACGGUAUCCUUUCUGCCUUGAUGCAUACCCCACAAACACACAUCGUAAGGCUCGAGGUUCAAGCUUACUUCGCUGUUGUUUAUGAAGAUGAACGAAGGCCACACAACCAAACACAUGAGGUGGAAGAUUAGGGACUGCAGGAGCAUCAACAUGUGAAGAAAGUGCCUGAAGGGGUGUCUGAAAAUCAACCGAUCGGGAUGGAACACGAUUAAUGAGAUACGCAGCUGAGGUGAGAGCUUCUCCCCAAUAGGAUAACGGGAGACGAGCCUCGAGUAAAGAAGCACGAACAACCUCCAGAAGCUGACGGUUCUUGCGUUCGGCAACCCCAUUUUGUUAUGGAGUAUAUGGACAUGUAGUUUGAUGAACAAUCCCAUGAUGAUCAAGAAAGGCACGAAGUUCAGAGUUAACAUAUUCGCCACCAUUAUCACUCCUGAGAACCUGUAUUUGCGACUUAUAUUGUACUUGUACCAUUUUGUAAAACUGUUGAAACAAAGAAGUAACUUCACAUUUGGAUUUCAUCAAACAAACCCAAGUCAUACGUGUGCAGUCAUCAAUAAAAGUAACGAACCAAUGAGCACCACCAAAUGUAGCAGUCUUAGAUGGACCCCAAACAUCAGAAUGAAUUAUCAUAAAUGGAACAGAACUUUUAUUCAAAUUGGAUGGAAACGAAGCACGAUGACUUUUAGCUAGUUCACAAACACCACAUUUAAAGCUAGAAACAUCAUGCUUAACAAAUAGGCUAGGAAACAACCUCCGUAGAUAGCCGAAAGAAGCAUGUCCAAGUCGACGAUGCCACAACCAAACCUCCGAAGCUUUAUUCCGAUCCCUCGGAUUUCCUUCCACUGCAAGAGCUUGAGUCAACAUUCGAGAACUGUUUGAUGUCAGCUCCAAGUAGUAGAGCUUCCCUUUCCUAAUACCAUAACCAAUCGUCUUACGAGUCCGAAUGUCCUUAAAAACACAAAAAGAAGGCCAAAAAAUCACAAGACAAUGCAGGACGACAGUUAUUUGAGCAACAAAUAAUAAAUUAUAGUCAAGAGAAGGCACAACAAGUACGGUAUCAAGACUAAGGGUAUCUGAAAGGGAGACGGUUCCUUCCCCGAUAACAGGGGCAGAAUUACCAUUGGCGACACUGACGACAGUUUUGGUGGAUGGUUUUAGGGUGUCUACCUGUCUAGAAUCACAAGUCAUAUGUUUAGUAGCACCAGAAUCAAUUAUCCAUGUAUUAUUCGUAACAGAGGUAGAAACCUUUAAAGCCUUACCAUUGUUACAUGUAUUAGCAGAAUCACAAGGCCAGACUGCCAUUCCCAAGCAAACUUCAAUCAAUAAGUCACUCGGUGAUUGAUAAAGCCCAAAUUUCCAAGCAAACCAAGCCCAAGAAUUUCACGGGCCAACAAGAAGGAUAGCCCAACAAAAAUAAUAAUAAUCUAUAAAAAAAAAACACAAUUUUGUCUUUCCUUGCCGUGUGGGCCUUAAUCAAACAACCAAUAUUUUUUUUUUUUUUAACACCACCAAAUCUCUUCCGUAUGAUUCCCCUUUUUCUUUUUCCUUUUACCUUUUCUGUUUUGUUUUCUUCUCACUUUGAAACAGCAGCAGUGGUAUGGUGGUUCAAGGCUCCAACAAGGAUAAUAGCAGCAAGGACAGAUUGCAGUUCAAGGUGCGAGACAAAGGUGCAACAGUGCUGUGGUGGAUUGGUCAGAUCAGCAAGUCGGAUGGGAGCAGGUUCGUGGGUCGUCGGACCUCGAGUCGGGUACAGCGCAGCAACACAAUUCAAUCGGGUUGCAGUCUGUGCAAUUUUUCACGGCUUCAGAUCAAAUCAGAAGCAAAUAGGCCAAUUGGUCUAUCGUGUCACACAACAGAGAGUUAAACGAUUCGAUGAAUUCGGAUCAGCAACGACAGCGUCGCUCGCUGUUCGUUUCGAAUUCAGAUAGGGUAGCAACGACACCAGUCGCUCGCUGAUCGAGGUCGACGCACCACACACGGUUGAGCCGCAACAGUGCUAUCGCAGCUAUGGGUUUUUUUUCCUUUUUUUUUUUCGACCUGGCUCUGAUGCCAAGAAGAGAAUGCUUUGAAUGAUGAUAUAUUCUUCUCAAUAAGAGGAACUUAUAGGUGUACAACCCUAACAAAAAAGGAAAGAAAACUAAUUACAAGUGAUUACAUGGGAUUACAUAUCAAUUAGGGAUCCUACCUAAAAUACAAAAGUCAACAACAUAUACUAAGAUUUACUCACAUUCUUAGUUGUGAGUUAUUGAUUUGGUAUUUUUAAUCAAUUUUUACAUACAAUUAAUAUAUAGAUUGUAGAUUUACACUCGUUGUUCUUUCCUAAAUUUCUAUUCUCAGUUUUUUAUUUAUUAUUAAUUCAUAAAAAAAAACAAUUUCUUUUUUAAAAUGAAAAUAAGGCGGAGAAUGCAGUAAAUAACAUAUUCACUGGGGUAAGAAAACUAAAAUCAAAUAAGUUACUCAAUGCAUCAACAAAUAUAGUAAAUCUAAUUAUCCAUGAGUUCCAAAAAAACUGAAGCAUGUAAUAAUGUUGAAAAGCAUACUAUCUAUUUAGUCAGAUCACAAACAAUCCCAUGAUAUCUCACAAUAUCAUGAGGGCAUAAACACAAGCAAUUAUCAAGAAGAACACAUAACUAUUAACCCACUCCUCCACCGCUUGACCCCUUUGAUCUACAAAACCAAACAAAAAUUUUCAACCAAAAAUAACUAAUUUAACAAAGCAAAUACAUUAUACAAAAACAAAUAUUCAAUUUAGCUUCAUUUAGAUUACAGGAAGUCCAUUCAAACAACCAAAAGGAUAUAAAUAAAAAUAUUCAAGAACCAACCUUCUUCAAAGAUCACUGGUUCUAGCGUUCAAACCCAAAAACUGAAGACGAUUACUUGAAUUAAAUGAAAAUGAAAAUAUAAUUAAUUUACUCUUAACCAUGGUUUUUUUCAAGAAUCAGAAAAAUCUAAAAAUAUCCCAAACAAUCCCAAAUUUUGGAACUGCUUUAAGCCAACUUACCAUGAAAUUACAGUUGCUUGAGAAAUAUUCUUCAAAUCAGGCCGGAUCAGGCAUUGUAGACUGUGUUUCUUGGAAAUCACUAAAAAACUGGAAUCAGUGCAAAAGCUCCAGGGAUUACGGUGGUGGUUCUCGAUUUUACCGAGAGGGAGAAGGAGAGUUGUAGAGGGGAUACAGAUGGGAGAGGCAGAGAGUAGUGAGGGAUGAGAGAGAGUGACAAUGUUGGGAGUUGGGGGAGUCUGAGUAGGGUAGAGAGAAGUGAAGAGAGGGUUGAGUGAAUUAGUGGGGGUGUAAUUGUGAGUCAGAUGGAUUGGAUGUGUGAUAGAAACCAAAGGAAAAUUCUAGAGAUCCAGCUGGAGGGCAUGCAAGACCGAAGCAAAAGGAAAACCGGAUAAAGGGUGGGUCGAUGUUUGACACGUGGAAAGGUUAAGUAAAAACGAUGCGGUCGAAGCAGAGAAAGAAACGAUGAAAGGCCCGUGUCUAGGAAGGGCAAAAUAGACUUUUUACUGUAGAAAACGUAAAAUAGUAUCUUAUCCAAAGAAGAAACUGAGGGCAUUUUGGUCAAACCACUGUUGAUGAACAGUGUUUUUAUGUUGGGUUUUAGUAUAAUCAAUACCUUAAAUUUUCGUUUCAUAUAGAUGAAACAUCCAGCGUGAUAAAGAUCCAAGUAGAUUCAACUUAAAGGUAUUUAAUUUUUUAUAUUUUUUAUAUUAACAUCUACUAUCCAAAUCAAAAAAACAACACGAAAAAGGCAUAAUAAUAUUACUUCAGUUGUUAUCAUUAAUCAGUAUCAAAUUGUAGUAUUAUUUUAUUCAUAUAAAAAAAGAUAGAUUUACCUCUUUGUUAUCUAUUGCACUUAGCAUUUCUUUAAUAAAAAUAAAUAAAAAUAAAAAAUUAUAUUCAUUUUAGAUAAAGAUUUUGUAAGAAAGCAGUAAUUUUUGACAAAAUUUUUCCAUUGUUUGGUGAUGAAUGAAAUUUGAACUGACUCGAACAUGGCUUCUUUCUUAGCCUUGACUCUUGAGAGGGAGAACGUGUGUUUUAAUUAUGAGAUCCAAAUUCCUAUAAUGCACUUUCAAUGUUGAUUGCACAUUCUUCAUUUAUAGUUGCUACUCCUGCUUUGUUUCAAAACGUCCAUGCUGCUGUUUAUUUAAUUUUCUCACUUUUGCUUCUUGCAGUGAAUGUUUCUUCAUUGCCGAUGCCCCAUUCUUCAUUGUUGGCAAAAUUAUCAUUUAGCAUAUACUUUAACAUUUUAACUUAUUUAUGAACUUCCAAAAUUCAGUACGUAUCAUCGAAUUGCACAUGAAGUACGUAUCAUUGAAUUGCACAUGAUUUACACUUUUAGCUACAUCGAUUAGUACUGAGUUAAGUACAAGUGCCAAUAGAGAACAAUGCGAAAAAUUGGGACAUGGAAAACGAAGAUUUUUUUUCUGUGUAAUAUAUUCUACAAACACAUCUUUUUUACGUUAUUGAACAUAAGGAUGUAAAUAGACUUGGAUAUAAAUGUAAAUAUAUUUUAAUAUAUUUCGCACUUUAAACACGGUUUCCAAACCCGUAGCAUCGCGCGAGCUAAAUUGCUAGUGUUUUACUAAAUUAAAAUCUCUAUAUCAAUUUAAAUAACUAAUAGUGACAGAUAGGGGUGGGUUCGGUACGGUUACCGUACCAAAACCCUUGUACCAAUUACCGUACCAAACUUUCGGUUUGGUAAAAUCUAUUACCAUUACCGUACCAAACUUUCGGUAUACCGAAGUUCGGUAUUGCCAAAAAUUUGGUUGGCAUGGUAUGGCAAUGGUAAUUGCCAUUUUGUUUUGGGACAAAAUAUGUUUUUGUUUUUUUAACCCAAUUCAAGGGCAAAACUUUUUUUUUUUGUACCUUUAUCUCAUACAUUAUAGAUUAAAUUCAUCUAUUAUUCAUCAUUCACAAUUCACA